Molecule: long non-coding RNA, 531 nt
Organism: Xiphias gladius (swordfish)
Lineage: Eukaryota; Metazoa; Chordata; Actinopteri; Istiophoriformes; Xiphiidae
Exons: 4
Source: RefSeq, a predicted model, not a curated record
GGGCCAAGGCUGGAGGAUGUGUUUAACCUGAGGACUGGAACUCAUCCUGACAGUGCAGUAUAUUUCCACAGGGGCAUUACUUGGACAUGUGGGAGAGCUUCCCAGUGCUGGAAUCUGAAGGAUUUUCUAGCUGGGAAAACAUUUGCUGGCAAAGAUCAAGAAACUUGUAUCAUCUGAACAUUUCAGGACAAUCUUUUUCUGAACACUGAGAUGAGGCUCCCAUGAGGCCAGUUCAUCCACUAAGCUGUUUACCCUCCAACACCCAGAGCCAGAGAUCAACAAUGGAUGAGACUCAGAGGGAUCAAAACGUCCUUGUUGUGCUCUGGCUUUGUUCACGUGUCUGUUACAGACACAGCACUCAGGGAGUGAGAUGCACAGACAGAGAGAAGAGGAAGGUGAGAAAGAAGAGGAUCUAAAAAUAAGUCGAGAGAGAGAGAGUAGAAGACAAAGCCAGACGAAGACAAAAGGCCCAUGAUUUUAAUCUAACCACAGGAAGGUGCAGUAGAUAUUAUAUCAAUAGCUCUGUACUGU